GCAUGGUCGGCAGUUGGAAAGAAUUUCGGUCAGGGAUGAGCUCGCGGCCUAUCAGCUUGUUGGUGAGGUAAUGGCUCACCAAGGCGUCGACGGGUAGCCGGCCUGAGAGGGUGACCGGCCACACUGGGACUGAGACACGGCCCAGACUCCUACGGGAGGCAGCAGUGGGGAAUAUUGCACAAUGGGCGAAAGCCUGAUGCAGCAACGCCGCGUGAGGGAUGACGGCCUUCGGGUUGUAAACCUCUUUUAGCAGGGAAGAAGCGAAAGUGACGGUACCUGCAGAAAAAGCGCCGGCUAACUACGUGCCAGCAGCCGCGGUAAUACGUAGGGCGCAAGCGUUAUCCGGAAUUAUUGGGCGUAAAGAGCUCGUAGGCGGUCUGUCGCGUCUGCUGUGAAAACCCGAGGCUCAACCUCGGGCCUGCAGUGGGUACGGGCAGACUAGAGUGCGGUAGGGGAGAUUGGAAUUCCUGGUGUAGCGGUGGAAUGCGCAGAUAUCAGGAGGAACACCGAUGGCGAAGGCAGAUCUCUGGGCCGUAACUGACGCUGAGGAGCGAAAGGGUGGGGAGCAAACAGGCUUAGAUACCCUGGUAGUCCACCCCGUAAACGUUGGGAACUAGUUGUGGGGUCCAUUCCACGGAUUCCGUGACGCAGCU
This 653-nucleotide ribosomal RNA is filed under the name Microbacterium sp. RNAcentral's name for it is "bacterial SSU rRNA". It matches the Rfam family "Bacterial small subunit ribosomal RNA", at positions 186 to 853 of the family's 1533-position model. The record is from RNAcentral. Lineage: Bacteria; Bacillati; Actinomycetota; Actinomycetes; Micrococcales; Microbacteriaceae.